This 419-nucleotide long non-coding RNA is filed under the name Mytilus galloprovincialis (Mediterranean mussel). The record is from RNAcentral. Lineage: Eukaryota; Metazoa; Mollusca; Bivalvia; Mytilida; Mytilidae.
CAUUAGACAUACACAAAGGUCUUAACAGAAAACAUACCUGGGAAUCCUCAAUCUGCGUCGCGCCCUGCUAGAAAAAAAGAAAAGGCGCAAUUAGACAUACACAAAGGUCUUAACAGAAAACAUACCUGGAAAUCCUCAAUCUGCGUCGCGCCCUGCAAAAAAAAAAAAAAAAGGCCACACGACCUAAAGGAAAAAAAAGAAACCAUUAGACAUACACAAAGGUCUUAACAGAAAACAUACCUGGGAAUCUCCUAAUCUGCGUCGCGCCUGCUAGAAAAAAAGAAAAGGACAACAUUAGACAUACACAAAGGUCUUAACAGAAAACAUACCUGAAAAUACUCAAUCUGCGUCGCGCCCUGCUAGAAAAAAAGAAAAGGCAACAUUAGACAUACACAAAGGCCUUAACAGAAAACAUACCU